This is an RNA transcript of Felis catus (domestic cat), 3501 nucleotides long. It is a transcript of the gene named ribosomal RNA processing 8, with no coding region annotated. The record is from RefSeq and is a predicted model, not a curated record. The transcript is spliced from 9 exons. NCBI's taxonomy places the organism in Eukaryota, Metazoa, Chordata, Mammalia, Carnivora, Felidae.
CAGACUUGCACUCUUUGGUUUCCGGCUCAGUUCCGGCGACUACGCGCGGUCGGUUUACAGGAGACUAGCGCUGCACGUGGAGAGGUGCUUGGCUCUCGCGACUUCGCCCACCCGACCCGCAUGUUCGAAGAGCCGGAGUGGGCCGAGGAGGCCCCAGUAGCCACGGGCCUCGAACCUGUAGCUGCACGACCUCGGCCUGCCGCAGCCUCGCAAAUCAAGGGCUCCAAGCACCGUCAGCUCUUGGCCACGUUACGGGCCCUGGAGGCAGCAGCUCUUCCCCAGCAAUCUCCUAGCCUGCCUGGCAGUGACUCUGAGGAGGAGGUAGUGGAAAGGAAGAAGAAACACUCAAAAAAGUCCUCAUUUUCCAAUGUUUCUAUUGAAGUAGAGAAGAAGAGGAAGAAGAAAUGUCAGAAACAGGGCCCACCUGGCAGUGACUCUGAAGAAAAGGAAGUAGAAAGGAAGAAAAAGUGCCUCAAAGGGGUUUUUAAUGCCAGUGACUCUGCUGAAGAAGAGAAAAGGAAGAGGAAACAGCAGAAACAGGUCCGCUCAAACCCUGCCCAGCACCUGGACAAUGAUGACCAAACAGGUCCCAAAGCUUGGAAGAGUAGAGAUACAAAUGACCUAUCCCAGCCAAGCGCUGGGACCACUUCUGCCAACCCCCCCCACAUCUUGAGUCGCAAGCAGUGGCGGAACCGGCAAAAGAAUAAACGUAGGCAUAAGAAUAAGUUUCGGCCACCUCAGCCACCAGACCAGGCUCCAGCCACAGUCUCCACAGAGGAGACAGAGAUGCCUCCUGACCCCAGUCCACACAGCCAUGAGGAUCGGGCGGGGGCUCUGCGAGCCCGCAUGGCACAACGGCUGGAUGGUGCUCGAUUUCGUUACCUCAACGAACAGCUAUACUCAGGGCCUAGCAGUGCUGCACAGCGUCUCUUCCAGGAAGACCCUGAGGCCUUUCUCCUCUACCAUCGUGGCUUCCAGAGCCAAGUCAAGAAGUGGCCACUGCAGCCAGUGGACCGCAUUGCCAGAGAUCUUCGCCAGCGGCCUGCGUCCCUGGUGGUAGCUGACUUCGGCUGCGGGGACUGCCGCCUGGCUUCAAGUAUCCGGAACCCUGUACACUGCUUUGACUUGGCCUCUCUGGACCCCAGGGUCACUGUGUGUGACAUGGCCCAGGUGCCUCUGGAGGAUGAGUCUGUGGAUGUGGCUGUGUUCUGCCUUUCACUGAUGGGAACCAACAUCAGGGACUUCCUAGAGGAGGCAAAUAGAGUGCUGAAGCCAGGGGGUCUUCUGAAAGUGGCUGAAGUCAGUAGCCGUUUUGAAGAUGUUCGGACUUUUCUGGGGGCUGUGACCAAACUGGGCUUCAAAGUCAUCUCCAAGGAUCUUACCAACAGCCACUUCUUCCUGUUUGACUUUGAAAAGACUGGGCCUCCUCGGGUCGGUCCCAAGGCUCAACUCACAGGCCUGAAACUUCAGCCAUGUCUCUACAAGCGCAGGUGACCUCUGGGCCCCCCUUGAAAGGGAGGCAAGUCUCGAACUCCAGGCUCAGAACUCUGAAGACUGUAUCCAGCCGGGCUCUGACCCAAGAACGGGGUCAGAAAGAGGAUGUGUGGGAAGAGACCAUGCAGGAUUGCUGUGUAGAGAGCUUAUUGUGAGACAGCACAGCUGGACUGUCAGGACCCGCCCCCUCACCUCAGCUCUGACUGUGGACUCCACUGGGACCAUUCAGGAAGCUUGAGCUAUUAGGUAGAGAGGAGGUGAGAAGAGCCGAGAGCACACGGAUUAUUCUCCUCCUCCCCAACUCAGCCUCCUUGAGACAUAGUAAGUGGGGCAGAGCUGGGAGGGGAAGACAACCGUCUUCCAGUGGGUGCACAUUAUUUAUUGUUACCUAGGGUUAGAUAUCCUAAUUGCUUGAGAUGAAGAGGAGGUGAGAAGAGCAGAGAGCACACAGAUUAUUCCUAUUAUUCCUCUUCUCCCCAGCUCAGGCUCAUUGAGACAUAGUAAAUGGGGCAGAGCUGGGAGGGGAAGGUGGUUAAAGCUCCAAGUGGGUGCACAUUAUUUAUAGUUACCUAGGGUUAGAUAUUCUAAUUGCUUGAGAUCGCGUAAGACCGUUAACUAAGAAUAAGCUGAAAAGUCACGGGCUUGCUGCAGCUUACCUCCACAGCAGGGAAAGAGUGUCCCCAAAUGAAAAUGCUUUGGAGGGGUGGUGAGAGACAAGAAUAAGCUUGGGUUUGGAUGGCAGUCUGUGCCUUGUGCUUGUUCAGCAUGCCUUUGAGAGGUUUCUUGCUGCUGCAGUUUUUGGUGUGCUCCAGCUCUUGUUCCUGUAACACAGUCCUACGGAACAUGGUUCCAAAGGAAACAACAUGAUCUUGGCAGAGACACAGCUUAGCUCCAAACACUCAGCCAUUUACAUAAAUGCACAGAGCCCUUUACAGCUUUUCACAGAGACCCACAAUAGUGUUUUUUUUAUCCCCAGGUGGUCCUCCUUCCUAGAUGACUUCUCAGACUGGCCACCUGUUUCUAGGAUAUUCAACUACUGUAGCAAUUGCCUUAUUGGUCUAAUUCCAUCACUCCUGCCCCCAAAGCAAUUUGUUUCCCACACAGCCAAGUGAUGUUUUUAAAAUGUAAAUCAGAUAUUGUCAUUUCUCUGCUUAAAAUCCUUCAAUGGGUUCUCAGUGCCCUGAGAACAAAAGACAGACUCGCUCCCAGGCCCUGUGUGAUCUUGCUCAGGCCUUGCUCUCCAACUGCAUCUUAACCCACUCCUUCCUCACAAGACUCCAGCCAUGCAAGCUUUCUUUUCAUUCCUCUAGCAUUCCAAGCCAUUCCAGCUGGGUCUUUACACAUGCUGCUCUAUCUUUUUACAGUACUUUUUGUGAUGAGCUCAUUUUCAUCUUCCAGAUCUUCACACCAAAUCCCCGUUUCUUCUUUGGAAGAAACUGGCUAGAUGCUCACCAAAAUGUCCUUUUUAUGGACACAUAGUUAACUAUGUUUCCCAGCUCCUUGCAUCAAGGCGGGGCUAUUGUCUUCGCCAAUGGAAAGUAAGUAGGAGUAAUGCUUUACUACCAGACCAAGGCAAUUAAAGAGUGGAUGAGCCUUCUCCACAUUCUCCCAUCCCCUCUUCUGCCUUCCUGGGUGAGCUUGAAGCAUAUGUUUUAAAGACUGUGGAGUCAAUUGCUUGGAGGAAAUCUGCUUGACCAAGAACAUCCACAUUGGAUUUUCAACAAAAAUAAACCUCUAUUGCAUUAAGUUACUGAGCUUUGGGAAGGUUACAGAAGUUAGUAUUAUAUACUCUGGCUAAUAUAUCUUUUCUGGGCAUCCUGUCCACCUUGCUCUUGACCACAAAACCUUUUUUUGUUUCCCUCAGGGUGCUUCAAACAUGUAAUUAUCUUACCAGAUGCCAGUCAACACUCCUACCUAUCCUAUAACUUUGAAUCUUAAUUGAGAAAAAAACGUCCACGUGAGGAAGUUGAGAUACUCAUUUUAUCAGUUGCAUUUUGAUUGUGACCA